CCUACGGGAGGCAGCAGUGGGGAAUAUUGCACAAUGGGGGAAACCCUGAUGCAGCGACGCCGCGUGAGUGAAGAAGUAAUUCGGUAUGUAAAGCUCUAUCAGCAGGGAAGAAAAUGACGGUACCUGAGUAAGAAGCCCCGGCUAACUACGUGCCAGCAGCCGCGGUAAUACGUAGGGGGCAAGCGUUAUCCGGAUUUACUGGGUGUAAAGGGAGCGUAGACGGCAGUGCAAGUCUGUAGUGAAAGGCGGGGGCUCAACCCUCGGACUGCUCUGGAAACUGUACGGCUGGAGUGCAGGAGAGGUAAGCGGAAUUCCUAGUGUAGCGGUGAAAUGCGUAGAUAUUAGGAGGAACACCAGUGGCGAAGGCGGCUUACUGGACUGUAACUGACGUUGAGGCUCGAAAGCGUGGGGAGCAAACAGGAUUAGAUACCCCUGUAGUC
This 440-nucleotide ribosomal RNA is filed under the name uncultured bacterium. RNAcentral's name for it is "partial 16S ribosomal RNA". It matches the Rfam family "Bacterial small subunit ribosomal RNA", at positions 338 to 795 of the family's 1533-position model. The record is from RNAcentral.